AGUGAACGCUGGCGGCAGGCCUAACACAUGCAAGUCGAACGGCAGCACAGCAGUAGCAAUACUGUGGGUGGCGAGUGGCGGACGGGUGAGGAAUACAUCGGAAUCUGCCUAGUCGUGGGGGAUAACGUAGGGAAACUUACGCUAAUACCGCAUACGACCUACGGGUGAAAGCGGGGGAUCGCAAGACCUCGCGCGAUUAGAUGAGCCGAUGUCCGAUUAGCUAGUUGGUGGGGUAAAAGGCCUACCAAAGGCGACGAUCUUUAGCUGGUCUGAGAGGAUGAUCAGCCACACUGGGACUGAGACACGGCCUAGACUCCUACGGGAGGCAGCAGUGGGGAAUAUUGGAC
This 347-nucleotide ribosomal RNA is filed under the name uncultured bacterium. RNAcentral describes it as "bacterial SSU rRNA". It matches the Rfam family "Bacterial small subunit ribosomal RNA", at positions 29 to 369 of the family's 1533-position model. The record is from RNAcentral.